UACGUAGGGUGCAAGCGUUGUCCGGAAUUAUUGGGCGUAAAGAGCUCGUAGGCGGUUUGUUGCGUCGGCUGUGAAAUCCCGAGGCUCAACCUCGGGUCUGCAGUCGAUACGAGCAAACUAGAGUGUUGCAGGGGAGACUGGAAUUCCCGGUGUAGAGGUGAAAUUCGUAGAUAUCGGGAGGAACACCAGUGGCGAAGGCGGCGAUCUGGGAAGAUACUGACGCUGAGGUGCGAAAGCGUGGGGAGCAAACAGG
This 253-nucleotide ribosomal RNA is filed under the name uncultured bacterium. RNAcentral's name for it is "partial 16S ribosomal RNA". It matches the Rfam family "Bacterial small subunit ribosomal RNA", at positions 524 to 776 of the family's 1533-position model. The record is from RNAcentral.